RNAcentral lists this ribosomal RNA (251 nucleotides) under uncultured bacterium. RNAcentral's name for it is "partial 16S ribosomal RNA". It matches the Rfam family "Bacterial small subunit ribosomal RNA", at positions 335 to 602 of the family's 1533-position model. The record is from RNAcentral.
UACCUACGGGACGUAGCAGUGGGGAGUAUUGCACAAUGGGGGAAACCCUGAUGCAGCGACGCCGCGUGGACGAAGAAGUAUUUCGGUAUGUAAAGUCCUAUCAGCAGGGAAGAAGAAAUGACGGUACCUGACUAAGAAGCCCCGGCUAACUACGUGCCAGCAGCCGCGGUAAUACGUAGGGGGCAAGCGUUAUCCGGAUUUACUGGGUGUAAAGGGAGCGCAGGCGGCAGCCCAAGUCUGAUGUGAAAGCC